RNAcentral lists this ribosomal RNA (1254 nucleotides) under metagenome. Its description in RNAcentral is "bacterial LSU rRNA". It matches the Rfam family "Bacterial large subunit ribosomal RNA", at positions 1635 to 2881 of the family's 2925-position model. The record is from RNAcentral.
UAUACGACCGUACCGCAAACCGACACUGGUGCGCGAGAUGAGUAUUCUAAGGCGCUUGAGAGAACUCAGGAGAAGGAACUCGGCAAAUUGACACCGUAACUUCGGAAGAAGGUGUGCCCUAUUAGUGUGUAGUGAACAACGAAGCAUGAAUGGGUUGCAAAAAAUCGGUGGCUGCGACUGUUUAUUAAAAACACAGCACUCUGCAAACACGAAAGUGGACGUAUAGGGUGUGACGCCUGCCCGGUGCUGGAAGAUUAAAUGAUGGGGUGCAAGCUCUUGAUUGAAGUCCCAGUAAACGGCGGCCGUAACUAUAACGGUCCUAAGGUAGCGAAAUUCCUUGUCGGGUAAGUUCCGACCUGCACGAAUGGCGUAACGAUGGCCACACUGUCUCCUCCUGAGACUCAGCGAAGUUGAAAUGUUUGUGGUGAUGCAAUCUCCCCGCGGAAAGACGGAAAGACCCCAUGAACCUUUACUGUAGCUUUGUAUUGGACUUUGAACAGAUCUGUGUAGGAUAGGUGGGAGGCUUUGAAGCAGGGUCGCUAGAUCUUGUGGAGCCAACGUUGAAAUACCACCCUGGUGUGUUUGAGGUUCUAACCUAGGUCCAUUAUCUGGAUCGGGGACAGUGCAUGGUAGGCAGUUUGACUGGGGCGGUCUCCUCCCAAAGCGUAACGGAGGAGUUCGAAGGUACGCUAGUUACGGUCGGACAUCGUGACGAUAGUGCAAUGGCAUAAGCGUGCUUAACUGCGAGACUGACAAGUCGAGCAGAUGCGAAAGCAGGACAUAGUGAUCCGGUGGUUCUGUAUGGAAGGGCCAUCGCUCAACGGAUAAAAGGUACUCUGGGGAUAACAGGCUGAUACCGCCCAAGAGUUCAUAUCGACGGCGGUGUUUGGCACCUCGAUGUCGGCUCAUCUCAUCCUGGGGCUGUAGCCGGUCCCAAGGGUAUGGCUGUUCGCCAUUUAAAGAGGUACGUGAGCUGGGUUUAAAACGUCGUGAGACAGUUUGGUCCCUAUCUUCCGUGGGCGCUGCAGAUUUGAGGAAGCCUGCUCCUAGUACGAGAGGACCGGAGUGGACACACCUCUGGUGUAUCGGUUGUCACGCCAGUGGCAUUGCCGAGUAGCUAAGUGUGGAAGAGAUAACCGCUGAAAGCAUCUAAGCGGGAAACUCUUUUCAAGAUGAGAUCUGCCGGGGCCUUGAGCCCCCUAAAGAGUCGUUCAAGACCAGGACGUUGAUAGGUCAGGUGUGGAAGCGAAAAGA